This 73-nucleotide transfer RNA is filed under the name Marinicella litoralis. It matches the Rfam family "tRNA". From Rfam's summary of the family: Transfer RNA (tRNA) molecules are approximately 80 nucleotides in length. Their secondary structure includes four short double-helical elements and three loops (D, anti-codon, and T loops). Lineage: Bacteria; Pseudomonadati; Pseudomonadota; Gammaproteobacteria; Lysobacterales; Marinicellaceae. The record is from Rfam by way of RNAcentral.
UGGGAUGUCGCCAAGUGGUUAAGGCACCAGGUUUUGAUCCUGGCAUUCGGAGGUUCGAAUCCUCCCAUCCCAG